GGGGGAUGGCGGAGCUCGUGUGAGUGACGGACCGCGUGAGGGGUUGCGGUUUUCGGAUCGUAUAGCUCUGUUGUUAGGGAAGAACAAGUGCCGUUCAAAUAGGGCGGCACCUUGACGGUACCUAACCAGAAAGCCACGGCUAACUACGUGCCAGCAGCCGCGGUAAUACGUAGGUGGCAAGCGUUGUCCGGAAUUAUUGGGCGUAAAGGGCUCGCAGGCGGUUUCUUAAGUCUGAUGUGAAAGCCCCCGGCUCAACCGGGGAGGGUCAUUGGAAACUGGGGAACUUGAGUGCAGAAGAGGAGAGUGGAAUUCCACGUGUAGCGGUGAAAUGCGUAGAGAUGUGGAGGAACACCAGUGGCGAAGGCGACUCUCUGGUCUGUAACUGACGCUGAGGAGCGAAAGCGUGGGGAGCGAACAGGAUUAGAUACCCUGGUAGUCCACGCCGUAAACGAUGAGUGCUAAGUGUUAGGGGGUUUCCGCCCCUUAGUGCUGCAGCUAACGCAUUAAGCACUCCGCCUGGGGAGUACGGUCGCAAGACUGAAACUCAAAGAAAUUGACGG
This 560-nucleotide ribosomal RNA is filed under the name Bacillus subtilis. RNAcentral describes it as "bacterial SSU rRNA". It matches the Rfam family "Bacterial small subunit ribosomal RNA", at positions 356 to 916 of the family's 1533-position model. Lineage: Bacteria; Bacillati; Bacillota; Bacilli; Caryophanales; Bacillaceae. The record is from RNAcentral.